RNAcentral lists this ribosomal RNA (301 nucleotides) under uncultured bacterium. RNAcentral describes it as "partial 16S ribosomal RNA". It matches the Rfam family "Bacterial small subunit ribosomal RNA", at positions 509 to 807 of the family's 1533-position model. The record is from RNAcentral.
CAGCAGCCGCGGGAAUACGGAGGAUGCGAGCGUUAUUCGGAAUCAUUGGGUUUAAAGGGUCUGUAGGCGGGCUAUUAAGUCAGGGGUGAAAUAUUUCAGCUUAACUGGGAAAUUGCCUUUGAUACUGGUAGUCUUGAAUAUUUGUGAAGUUUUUGGAAUGUGUAGUGUAGCGGUGAAAUGCAUAGAUAUUACACAGAACACCGAUUGCGGAGGCAGGGGACUAACAAAUAAUUGACGCUGAGAGACGAGAGCGUGGGGAGCGAACAGGAUUAGAUACCCCCGUAGUCCCUGUCUCUUAUAC